RNAcentral lists this ribosomal RNA (477 nucleotides) under Priestia megaterium. Its description in RNAcentral is "bacterial SSU rRNA". It matches the Rfam family "Bacterial small subunit ribosomal RNA", at positions 18 to 484 of the family's 1533-position model. Lineage: Bacteria; Bacillati; Bacillota; Bacilli; Caryophanales; Bacillaceae. The record is from RNAcentral.
CCUGGCUCAGGAUGAACGCUGGCGGCGUGCCUAAUACAUGCAAGUCGAGCGAACUGAUUAGAAGCUUGCUUCUAUGACGUUAGCGGCGGACGGGUGAGUAACACGUGGGCAACCUGCCUGUAAGACUGGGAUAACUUCGGGAAACCGAAGCUAAUACCGGAUAGGAUCUUCUCCUUCAUGGGAGAUGAUUGAAAGAUGGUUUCGGCUAUCACUUACAGAUGGGCCCGCGGUGCAUUAGCUAGUUGGUGAGGUAACGGCUCACCAAGGCAACGAUGCAUAGCCGACCUGAGAGGGUGAUCGGCCACACUGGGACUGAGACACGGCCCAGACUCCUACGGGAGGCAGCAGUAGGGAAUCUUCCGCAAUGGACGAAAGUCUGACGGAGCAACGCCGCGUGAGUGAUGAAGGCUUUCGGGUCGUAAAACUCUGUUGUUAGGGAAGAACAAGUUACGAGAGUAACUGCUCUGUACCUUGACG